CAAACCCAAGUGCAGGUUGUCGCAAGUAGUAAAUCUCGGAAGUCCGAGGUCGAACCACAGGGAAUUGGAAGGAAAUAAACUAUUCUAUGAGUAAUGAACGGUUGGUGGAAAUACGAUUGAGACGAACACUAGAGCAUCGGGGAUUCACUUUGGAUAAAUGAGUAGAAAUUGCCCUUGAUCUUUAAUUUAACUCAUAUGAAAAUCAACUAAGGAGUGAUCUCAUAUGGAAGAUAAAACAUUGAUCACAAAUAUAUUAAAAGAUAGAUCUUGAUCAUUGUUUGAGAGAAUAUGUCAAAAUAAGUUGUUGGAAUGUAGAGAUUAUCUAAGCAUUUAUUGUGCCAAAAUUGUCAACAAUAAAUCAAAGUCUUUAACAAACCAAAACCAUUUGUAGAACACAAACUUCAACCAAGUAAGAAGAUGAACAUUGAAGAACAAAAUGAAAAAUCAAAGACAAUACUAAACAUUCAUCAAAGUUUCACCCUUAGCUCUAGCUAAAUGUUUAGAAAUACAUAGUGAAAUGUUACAAAGAAAAAUUAAGGAAACUAUAAUAUGAUGGAGAGGAAUUGAUUCUUCAAAAUCGUGGCCAAGGUCACCUUUUAUAGGCAAAGGAACAUCCAAAAUUCAAGUAGGCAAUGCAACUUGUUUCUGUCCAGCUUCAAGACAGCUGGAACAUGCAACUUUAUGCCAAUUUUCAGAUACAUUGUGCAGCGAAUUUGGACUUAUGAUCAACAGAUAAAAUAUUUCCACUUGAGUUAUCUUUCCAUUGGUUCAAAGAUCAGGUUCAUUGGAUCUAUAUAACUCCAGAUAUGACAAAAACAAUAAGUGCUGCUUCACAGGUAAAGCUGUAUCCGGCAGGUAACAGGCUGGACUUUGCACGGUAAUUUUGGCUGCUUUGUGAUACGAAUUUGACUUCUUCCAAAACAUGAAAGUUGUAGAAACUUGCCUUGUCUUUCCAACCCAACUUGAAUCACCUCGAUCCAAUGUCUGAAACUCAAGUUAAGAUUAUUUUACCAACAGCUGCUUCUUGCUUGAGGCAGUCACUAUUUUUGACUUUUCAACAUUAUUUUCCUCCACUUGCUCCACUUGUUCUAAUUUGGAAAUACAAGUGAAAUACAUCAAAUAGAUACUCUUUCAAAUGUAUAAUACUCAUGCCACCAUGUAUGUAAAUACGUAUUUCAAUUAAUUGCAUUUUUAACCUUGUAUUUAUGGAAAUUGAAUUUACGGCAUGAGAAUUAGAAUUAGAGACUAACAUUAGCGUUUUUAAACAAAGUGAAUGUAAAAUGCCUUCUAAAUGAUAUAUCUUUGAAGCACUUUUAGACACUAAUCA
RNAcentral lists this long non-coding RNA (1327 nucleotides) under Olea europaea (common olive). RNAcentral describes it as "long non-coding RNA (OEUR_LNC012103)". Lineage: Eukaryota; Viridiplantae; Streptophyta; Magnoliopsida; Lamiales; Oleaceae. The record is from RNAcentral.